Non-coding RNA from Mycena latifolia, 93 nucleotides. The record is from the annotation of a GenBank genome assembly. NCBI's taxonomy places the organism in Eukaryota, Fungi, Basidiomycota, Agaricomycetes, Agaricales, Mycenaceae.
GGCCUGGUAGCGCAACGGUUAGUGCAUCUGCUGUACUUAUGUGUUAUUUUGUAGACCUUCAGCAGAAGGUCGUUCGACUCGGAGUUCAGGUCA